GACGAACGCUGGCGGCGUGCUUAACACAUGCAAGUCGAGCGGUAAGGCCCUUUCGGGGGUACACGAGCGGCGAACGGGUGAGUAACACGUGGGUGACCUGCCCUUAGCUCUGGGAUAAGCCUGGGAAACUGGGUCUAAUACCGGAUAUGACUCCAUAACGCAUGUUGUGGGGUGGAAAGCCUUGUGCGGCUAGGGAUGGGCCCGCGGCCUAUCAGCUUGUUGGUGGGGUGAUGG
RNAcentral lists this ribosomal RNA (234 nucleotides) under uncultured bacterium. RNAcentral describes it as "partial 16S ribosomal RNA". It matches the Rfam family "Bacterial small subunit ribosomal RNA", at positions 28 to 263 of the family's 1533-position model. The record is from RNAcentral.